This 422-nucleotide ribosomal RNA is filed under the name Hydrophylax malabaricus (Malabar fungoid frog). Its description in RNAcentral is "partial 12S rRNA". Lineage: Eukaryota; Metazoa; Chordata; Amphibia; Anura; Ranidae. The record is from RNAcentral.
AAGAGUAUAAAGGUUUGGUCAUAGCCUUAUUAUUAACUGUUUCUCAACUUACACAUGCAAGUCUCAGCACUCCAGUGAGAACGCCCUUUAAACCUUUACUAGGAAAAGGAGCCGGUAUCAGGCACAAACAAUUGCCCAUGACACCUAGUCUCACCACACCCACAAGGGUUAUCAGCAGUGAUAAACAUUGUUUAUAAGCGAUAGCUUGACUCAGUUAGAGAAAAGAGAGCCGGCCAACCCGGUGCCAGCCGCCGCGGCUACACCACGGGGCCCAAGUUAAUUACUACCGGCGUUAAGCGUGAUUAAAGUCCUAACAGAUUAAGGUUGAAUUAAGACUUAGUAGUUAUAAGCCUGUUAUUAAGAAAAACAAAAACGAAAGUUACCCUAAUUAGUAUACUUGAAUACACGACAGCUAAGAAUAC